CCAGACUCCUACGGGAGGCAGCAGUCGAGAAUCAUUCACAAUGGGGGAAACCCUGAUGCAGCGACGCCGCGUGAGUGAAGAAGUAUUUCGGUAUGUAAAGCUCUAUCAGCAGGGAAGAAAAUGACGGUACCUGACUAAGAAGCCCCGGCUAACUACGUGCCAGCAGCCGCGGUAAUACGUAGGGGGCAAGCGUUAUCCGGAUUCACUGGGUGUAAAGGGAACGCAGGCGGUACGGCGAGUCUGAUGUGAAAACCCGGGGCCCAACCCCGGGACCGCACCGGAUACUGCCGGACUCGAGUGCCGGAGGGGCAGGCGGAAUUCCUGGUGUAGCGGUGAAAUGCGCAGAUAUCAGGAGGAACACCAGUGGCGAAGGCGGCCUGUUGGACGAUGACUGACGUUGAGGCUCGAAAGCGUGGGGAGCAAACAGGAUUAGAUACCCUAGUAC
RNAcentral lists this ribosomal RNA (445 nucleotides) under uncultured bacterium. RNAcentral describes it as "bacterial SSU rRNA". It matches the Rfam family "Bacterial small subunit ribosomal RNA", at positions 331 to 793 of the family's 1533-position model. The record is from RNAcentral.